Maniola jurtina (meadow brown) is the source of this 488-nucleotide long non-coding RNA. RefSeq lists it as uncharacterized. NCBI's taxonomy places the organism in Eukaryota, Metazoa, Arthropoda, Insecta, Lepidoptera, Nymphalidae. The transcript has 2 exons. The record is from RefSeq and is a predicted model, not a curated record.
UUAGGAAGAUUUCAUACUUCCUGAGAAUAAAAUGUAUACCGCAAUACCCGAGUUCGAAUCCUGACGAAAUCAUCUAGGCUCUAAUUAGUAUUUUGUAAUAGAUUCUUUAUAAUAGUGAAGUUGAAGGUCACGGUCGGUCAUUACGAUAUUACCGAUCAGCUGUCAAAUGCGAGAUGACGUUUUGUGUACCGACCGGAGGCAAUGCUCAUGUGAUGUGUUAGUUAUGUGCCAUAGUUUCGGAUAUUUUAAGUAAUAGAAAUCUUUAUUAAUUUGCGAUUAGCAAAUAAUGUGUUCUGGAUCGAAUUAUAGAAGGGCCUAACGGGAAUGCCCUUCUUGGAGCCUGUUAUUUACAAACCCUGAAUACAGCUAGCCGAGGUCUGGUUUUGGCAGAGUUCCAGCAUAAGAUAGAAAAACUCUCCUGGCGCCUAAAACCUAGGAUAAGAUUUAGCCUAAGUGUUUGUUGUGUGCAAUAAAUUAGUUAAAACGUC